Long non-coding RNA from Papaver somniferum (opium poppy), 2568 nucleotides. RefSeq lists it as uncharacterized. NCBI's taxonomy places the organism in Eukaryota, Viridiplantae, Streptophyta, Magnoliopsida, Ranunculales, Papaveraceae. The record is from RefSeq and is a predicted model, not a curated record. The transcript is spliced from 9 exons.
CCUCUAAACCCUCGUGAAUAUUCAUCUUCAAUAAUCGACAGCCAAGAAACAUCACAGAAAGCUCUCAAUCAUCUUCAAUCAUCGACUUUUCUUCUCGUUUUUCAUUUCUUUUCUCUCUCUUUUAUCAUCAGUUUUUCGAUUUUAGGGUUUUUCAUCGUCUGUUAGUCUAGUUUAGGAUUUUGAUUUCAGAGAUCUGUACAAGUCUUUCAUCAUCUGUAGGGUUUUAGUUUUUUCGAUUUGUCUGGUAUGCUGAUUUGAAGAUGAUUUGGUAUCAUUGAAGGAAGAACAAGAUAACUCAUUGACCCAAUUAGGUUUUUUACACCAUACAAAUCGAGAGAAAAAGGCUUCAAUAAAAAUCAUGGAUCAUCAAAAUGGGAGCUGUAGCAGCUUCAGAGGGAGGUGGUUCUCUAGGGGGUUGAGUAGAUUCUGAAGCAGAGGCUAUGAAGAUGAAUCUGACGAAUUAAAAUCAGAAAAGUGAAUGAUUAAGAUGAUGAAGAAGAUGAGAUUAGUGGAGAGGAAGAAGAUGAACAUGAGCAUAAGGAAAAUCAUCUUUAGUCCCCUUUUCAUCCAUGGUCUUGAUUAAGAUGCGUGAGAUUCCUGAGGGGUACCUUGGUUCUACAGUUAACAACGAUGUUGUCACAGUCCCUGCCUACUUCAAUGAUUCUCAGCGUCAAGCUACAAAGGAUGCUGGAGUCAUUGCUGGUCUUAAUGUUAUGCGUAUUAUCAAUUAGCAUAUUGCCGCUGCCAUUGCCUAUGGUCUUGACAAAAAGGCCACCAAUGUUGGAGAGAGGAAUGCUUUUAUCUUCGAUCUAGGAGGUGGUAUCUUUGAUGUCACAUCUGUGAUAUUGGUGCAACAGUAGUUAUCUGCCAAUGGGGUUUUGAUGAAUCGGAACUUGCCUGCUGUUAGAUGGGUGGAAGGAUUAUGCCAAGGUUCCAAGAACUGAAAAAUUGGGAAAGGCUGGGUUAGUUAGAGAGAAAUCCUUUGGUACGAAGGCGGUCACUAUCAUCACUUGUGGUGGUUAUGUUAUAUGUAGACAUGGAGGUCAAUGGCGUGCCCUUAAAGGCAUUUGUCGACAGUGGAGCACAAUCAACAAUAAUCCUUUAUUUGCAAACAGAAUGAAGUUUUGAAGCACAGAAUGCAUAUUUAUUUAUUAGAGCAUCUUAGUAUGACUUUUAGUCUGCUUGAAAUGGUUUUUGUUUGGUUUAUACGUUUCCCUUUGUUUUAAUUUGACUGGCUUGGACUUGACUGGGAUUGAUUUAGUUAAGUUUGAACCCACCGCUUGGAUUGAUAGAUGAUGUAAAGUAUCACAAGUGAUCAAUGGAUCUUUUAUUUAUUUAUUAGAGCAUGAAACAGUUAGUUGUAACGUUUGAUUCAAGAAUAAUCUUAUAAUCUGACGAAUAUCUGUGAGCUGAAACUUCUCUUUAUGUAGCUUCUUUGUUAAAAUCGUAAUAUCUUUAAUUGUAUGACCUACUUACUGUUUAUUCGAUUUUCAUCUGUUCCCUUGUAUUAGUUAGUGUAAUUGCUAUCAUGGAUUCUCUUAGAUUUAGACAAUCUAAUUCAACGCUUCUUUAGCACUGAUAUUUGGUUCACGCCCUGAAACAAGUCUUGUUAUUUUUGGAGCAUCAAUGGCUGGCUCUUGUAUUGGUUUCCUUGUGCACAACAGGUAUAGGGCAUCCAUAUUUAUGGGUGAUACAAGGUCCCUGGCCCUAGGUGGGGCAAUAGCUGCAAUGGCAGCUUGUACAACAAUGUCCUUUCCCUUGUUCUUUUCACCUGGAGUCUUCGUGAAGCUUCGUCCCUAAAUUAUUGAUCUUUUUCCUUUAGUGUUUGUUCGGUCCCUUUUUGUAUGAUAUAUUCCCAAAACAGUCCUCUUAAUAAUCAUUUUUUAUACGUGAUUUUAAACUUAUUUGAUAUAUUCCCAUUAAUUGAGCAGUGGAAGUGACACGUUGAAUUUAUGCUCCUCCAUGAAUCGGAAAACCGCUGAGCUAUGGGGUAGAUUGAGACUCCCCUGAUGAAGCACUUCGGAUGUAUGAUGAUGCUUGCCCCAUCCUUGAAGAACAUGAAAAGGAGCAAAUCGCAUUUGAUAUAUAUCGUGUUGCUGCCAAUGUUUAUAUACAAUUAAAAAGGAAAAAAUGUGGUGUUUCUGUUAUCUCUUUCAUAUUGUCCUGUAUGUGACUGUUAUAUGCUAUCUCUAACCAACUGAAUUUGGUUUAUGCUGUUGCGUUUUCCGAGUUUUCUUGUUUAACAACAUCGCUGCUAAAGUCGUUGUUAACAGUGUUUUGUGUCUGCAGAUGAAGUACGGCGUAGCUGCUUCUUUCUUGGAAGAGAGAGCCCCUGCAAGAGAAGUGUCCAUGGAUUGAAGAUACGUAGUUGCCGUCCCUUUGGAUUCCAUUCGCUUCACUGAUUCUGCUUCAAAUGCAGCAGUCUAUGGCAUGAGAAGCCUGUUAUGUAAGUCAUGUUUCUGUGCGUAUUAGUCUGCGACAUGAGAAAACUUAGAAAUAGAUAUGGAACCUAGGAAGUUUUUUAAGUUUUUGUGAACUAUAUUUUGGAACUUAGUGAGUUUCUAUGUA